This 200-nucleotide ribosomal RNA is filed under the name uncultured bacterium. Its description in RNAcentral is "partial 16S ribosomal RNA". It matches the Rfam family "Bacterial small subunit ribosomal RNA", at positions 29 to 256 of the family's 1533-position model. The record is from RNAcentral.
AACGAACGCUGGCGGCAUGCCUAACACAUGCAAGUCGAACGAACUCUUCGGAGUUAGUGGCGCACGGGUGCGUAACGCGUGGGAAUCUGCCCUUGGGUACGGAAUAACUCAGAGAAAUUUGUGCUAAUACCGUAUAAUGUCUUCGGACCAAAGAUUUAUCGCCCAAGGAUGAGCCCGCGUAAGAUUAGCUAGUUGGUAGG